This is a long non-coding RNA of Gossypium arboreum, 232 nucleotides long. RefSeq lists it as uncharacterized. The transcript has 2 exons. Lineage: Eukaryota; Viridiplantae; Streptophyta; Magnoliopsida; Malvales; Malvaceae. The record is from RefSeq and is a predicted model, not a curated record.
AAAGAAAAGUAAAGGACUAAAUUGUAAAGUUUAGUCACAUUUUGUAUCGAGUACUUAUCUAGCCACUCGGGGAUCGAAGGAAACGUCGGAGGCCGAUCACACUAUCAAAGAAAUAACUCGGUAUAAUUAGAUGUUUUGUUUUGUGUAUGGCAUGUAUAGAAACUUAGCUACUUUUGGUAUAAUAUGAGCAAUGAAUGAUGUGUAAAUACUUGCUAGUGAUUAGCUAAUAAAA